CGUGUAGGUGGCUGCGUAAGUAAGGUGUGAAAGCCCUCGGCUUACCCGGGGAAUUGCGCCUUAUACUGCGUGGCUUGAGGAUUUCAGGGGAAGGGGGAACUCCAGGUGUAGCGGUGAAAUGCGCAGAUAUCUGGGGGAAGGCCGGCGGCGAAGGCGCCCUUCUGGGAAAUUCCUGACACUGAGGCGCGAAAGCGUGGGGAGCAAACA
This 207-nucleotide ribosomal RNA is filed under the name uncultured bacterium. Its description in RNAcentral is "partial 16S ribosomal RNA". It matches the Rfam family "Bacterial small subunit ribosomal RNA", at positions 568 to 774 of the family's 1533-position model. The record is from RNAcentral.